UCAGAGCAGCAUGUUAGGGAGAUGGAGUUAUCUCAGUUAUAUGCAGACUGGACAGAGAAACUUCAGACACUGAGAUGGACUAAAAGGAUACUUCCCUUUUUCAGAUUGUUUAGGUCACUCUGUGGAUACAAGAUGGAGCUCCCACCAUGCAAAAUUUGAUUUGGAUGUCUAGACUGAUGAUGCCACACACACACUCUAAGAAGGUCAGAUACAAGAAAGUCCCUGCCCUUGCCUUGGUGGAGACCAGAUGGGGUUACUUCAUCCAGAUAGAAUGGCUUCUUGGCAUCUGGUUGUUGACUUCCUUGGCUUCCACUUGCUGCCAGGGAGACCCACUGAACUGGAACUAAGAAAAAGAUUCAGCUUACUUCAGAUUGCUAUUUGGCAAUCUUUGUUUCCCUUGCAUCAGGUAUUUACUAACACUUCCAGCCUUAAGUGAGAUGACAAAUAUUAAUUAUCUACCACAGGUAGGAACUCAUUAAAUAUUAACUCAGUUCUCCUUUCCUAGAGCAAAUGAUUUAAUCUCUCUUAAACAAGCAUAGUUUUUGCUACUUAAAGCACACCCUUCCUAUAUAAUCAGUAAGGAAAAAGCC
This 590-nucleotide long non-coding RNA is filed under the name Zalophus californianus (California sea lion). RNAcentral describes it as "lncRNA (ENSZCAG00015009798.1)". Lineage: Eukaryota; Metazoa; Chordata; Mammalia; Carnivora; Otariidae. The record is from RNAcentral.